GACGAACGCUGGCGGCGCGCCUAACACAUGCAAGUCGAACGAGAGAUGAGGAGCUUGCUCUUCAAAUCGAGUGGCGAACGGGUGAGUAACGCGUGAGGAACCUGCCUCAAAGAGGGGGACAACAGUUGGAAACGACUGCUAAUACCGCAUAAGCCCACGGCUCGGCAUCGAGCAGAGGGAAAAGGAGCAAUCCGCUUUGAGAUGGCCUCGCGUCCGAUUAGCUAGUUGGUGAGGUAACGGCCCACCAAGGCGACGAUCGGUAGCCGGACUGAGAGGUUGAACGGCCACAUUGGGACUGAGACACGGCCCAGACUCCUACGGGAGGCAGCAGUGGGGAAUAUUGCACAAUGGGGGAAACCCUGAUGCAGCGACGCCGCGUGGAGGAAGAAGGUCUUCGGAUUGUAAACUCCUGUUGUUGAGGAAGAUAAUGACGGUACUCAACAAGGAAGUGACGGCUA
RNAcentral lists this ribosomal RNA (458 nucleotides) under uncultured bacterium. RNAcentral's name for it is "bacterial SSU rRNA". It matches the Rfam family "Bacterial small subunit ribosomal RNA", at positions 28 to 499 of the family's 1533-position model. The record is from RNAcentral.